AGGGGUGUAGUUCAGUGGUUGAGCACUUGCUUAGCAUGCAUGAGGCCCUGGGUUUGAUCCUCAGCAUCGCAA
Molecule: transfer RNA, 72 nt
Filed under: Fukomys damarensis (Damara mole-rat)
Lineage: Eukaryota; Metazoa; Chordata; Mammalia; Rodentia; Bathyergidae
Rfam family: tRNA
About the family: Transfer RNA (tRNA) molecules are approximately 80 nucleotides in length. Their secondary structure includes four short double-helical elements and three loops (D, anti-codon, and T loops). Further hydrogen bonds mediate the characteristic L-shaped molecular structure. tRNAs have two regions of fundamental functional importance: the anti-codon, which is responsible for specific mRNA codon recognition, and the 3' end, to which the tRNAs corresponding amino acid is attached (by aminoacyl-tRNA synthetases). tRNAs cope with the degeneracy of the genetic code in two manners: having more than one tRNA (with a specific anti-codon) for a particular amino acid; and 'wobble' base-pairing, i.e. permitting non-standard base-pairing at the 3rd anti-codon position.
Source: Rfam by way of RNAcentral